Molecule: long non-coding RNA, 958 nt
Organism: Herpailurus yagouaroundi (jaguarundi)
Lineage: Eukaryota; Metazoa; Chordata; Mammalia; Carnivora; Felidae
Exons: 2
Source: RefSeq, a predicted model, not a curated record
CACAGCCCAGCCUUCCAGCCAUAUUAAGCUCUGUUCCGCCACAAAGAACCAAAGAAAAUUCUACAUAUGCACAUUAAUUUUCCUUUGUUGCAGUUACAAAGCUGACCCACGCUUUCUACCCCUCCAGGCUUCAACAUAAAGCUUUAAGAUGGCUUUGCUGAUGCCUGCUCUCCUUCCUGGUGUUCUCUACCAGUCACCAGCAUCAUCUUUUGGACAUAUGGGAUCUGACUGUAUUAUGUCCCUGCCCAACACCUUUCUGGACUCCUCAUCACUGUCAGGACACAAUCCAUGACUCUGGGCUCAGUCCCCAAAGCCCUCAUGAAGCCACAUCUCUGUCCCAGCCAUGCCACCCACCUAAGAGACCCUGAACACAACUGCAUGUCCUCAGCCUGCUCCUUUGUGAUGCUCCCCCUGUUCCUUCUGUGAUCUCAUGACAGCCUCUACACACAUCCACGGUGGUAGUUAGUUACCAUGUUGUCCUGUGGUCCCUUGCUUGGCCGUGCCCUCGCACUCUUGGCCACUUAGGAAGAACCAGCUCUCCCCACCAGUGGAAAGACUGGAAAGAGCUUAAACUAGUUCAGCUUACAGUGAACUUACAUUUGGAUGUGGGCUCUGCCACCUGCUCACUGGGUGCCUUUGGGCCAAACACAAGCUUGGAAUUAGGCAGCCUCCCUGUCUCAGAGCUGCAGAGAAAAGGAGACUGGGACAGAAGAGAUGCAGCCAUGGAGGCAGAGUCUCAGAGCACAGGGAGCAAGCCAAGGCCAAGGCCAGAGAGAUGCUGCCUGGGAAAGAAAGGGGAACGUGGAGGCUUCAGUUUCCACUGAAAUUAUUGGUCUCCGUGGGAGAAAACAGCAGCUUACACCUCACACAGCAAAGGUUGUUAGCUGGAAGAAAGGGGAAAUCAAAAUCAUUAAAAAGCAAGAGAAUUAGAAUUUAAAAUGAACCUGAUUUGAAUAUU